UAAAGAACCUGUCCUUAAGAGGGGGAUAGCCCUGGGAAACCGGGGGUAAUACCGCAUGUGCUCUAUGGACCGCAUGGUUUAUGGAGGAAAGGUAUGCGAAGAUAAUACUUAGCAUAUUACUUAAGGAGGGCUUUGCGGCCUAUCAGGUAGUUGGUGGGGUAAAGGCCUACCAAGCCGAAGACGGGUAGCUGGUCUGAGAGGAUGGUCAGCCACACUGGGACUGAGAUACGGCCCAG
This 236-nucleotide ribosomal RNA is filed under the name uncultured bacterium. RNAcentral describes it as "partial 16S ribosomal RNA". It matches the Rfam family "Bacterial small subunit ribosomal RNA", at positions 118 to 334 of the family's 1533-position model. The record is from RNAcentral.